GGGUGGCUGGACCGCUUAAUG
RNAcentral lists this microRNA (21 nucleotides) under Ptychodera flava. Its description in RNAcentral is "Pfl-Mir-4835_5p* (star (passenger))". Lineage: Eukaryota; Metazoa; Hemichordata; Enteropneusta; Ptychoderidae. The record is from RNAcentral.